GACGUAGGGCGCGAGCGUUGUCCGGAUUUAUUGGGCGUAAAGAGCUCGUAGGCGGCUUGUUGCGUCAGCUGUGAAAACCCGCAGCUCAACUGUGGGCUUGCAGCUGAUACGGGCAGGCUUGAGUUCGGUAGGGGAGACUGGAAUUCCUGGUGUAGCGGUGAAAUGCGCAGAUAUCAGGAGGAACACCGGUGGCGAAGGCGGGUCUGCUGGGGUCGAACUGACGCGUGGAGGACGAACGAGCGUGGGGAGCAAACAGG
Molecule: ribosomal RNA, 257 nt
Filed under: uncultured bacterium
Lineage: Bacteria
Description: partial 16S ribosomal RNA
Rfam family: Bacterial small subunit ribosomal RNA
Source: RNAcentral